CCUGACUGCUAUCGGAUUGAUACUAAGCCAUGCGAGUCAUUGCAGUAAUGCAAGGCAGACGGCUCAGUAACGCGUAGUCAACCUACCCUAUGGACGGGAAUAACCUCGGGAAACUGAGUAUAAUGCCCGAUAGAACACUAUACCUGGAAUGGUUUGUGUUCCAAAUGAAUGUCGCCGUAGGAUGGGACUGCGGCCUAUCAGUUUGUUGGUGAGGUAAUGGCCCACCAAGACUAUUACAGGUACGGGCUCUGAGAGGAGUAGCCCGGAGAUGGGUACUGAGACACGGACCCAGGCCCUAUGGGGCGCAGCAGGCGAGAAAACUUUGCAAUGUGCGAAAGCACGACAAGGUUAAUCCGAGUGGUUUGUGCUAAACGAACCUUUUGACGGUCCUAGAAACACUGUUGAAUAAGGGGUGGGCAAGUUCUGGUGUCAGCCGCCGCGGUAAAACCAGCACCUCAAGUGGUCAGGAUGAUUAUUGGGCCUAAAGCAUCCGUAGCCGGCUCUGUAAGUUUUCGGUUAAAUCUGUACGCUCAACGUACAGGCUGCCGGGAAUACUGCAGAGCUAGGGAGUGGGAGAGGUAGACGGUACUCGGUAGGAAGGGGUAAAAUCCUUUGAUCUAUUGAUGACCACCUGUGGCGAAAGCGGUCUACCAGAACACGUCCGACGGUGAGGGAUGAAAGCUGGGGGAGCAAACCGGAUUAGAUACCCGGGUAGUCCCAGCUGUAACUAUGCAAACUCAGUGAUGCAUUGGCU
Molecule: ribosomal RNA, 754 nt
Filed under: uncultured bacterium
Lineage: Bacteria
Description: bacterial SSU rRNA
Rfam family: Archaeal small subunit ribosomal RNA
Source: RNAcentral